AAGCUCUAAUUGUCCAACCGAUAGCUGUCCCCCUUUUUUUUGUUCUUGUUUGAAGUUGUGUGUGAGUGUGUUGGGAACCAAAGAAAGGGCCGAGAGUGGGGAGUGGAGAAUGCUUCUUUUGUUUAUUUCCUCUUUUGAGGGAGAGAGCCGAGAGUUAGAGUGAGGGAGAUUGAGUGCCUUUUUUUUCUUCUUGUCUGUUCUGUUUUUUAGCCCCGAGAGAGCCGAGAGAGUGAGUAUUAGGAGAGAAGGAGAGGAGUUUGUGUGUUG
Molecule: long non-coding RNA, 267 nt
Filed under: Coffea arabica (coffee)
Lineage: Eukaryota; Viridiplantae; Streptophyta; Magnoliopsida; Gentianales; Rubiaceae
Description: long non-coding RNA (CARA_LNC005984)
Source: RNAcentral